This 253-nucleotide ribosomal RNA is filed under the name uncultured bacterium. RNAcentral describes it as "partial 16S ribosomal RNA". It matches the Rfam family "Bacterial small subunit ribosomal RNA", at positions 524 to 776 of the family's 1533-position model. The record is from RNAcentral.
UACGAAGGGUGCAAGCGUUAAUCGGAAUUACUGGGCGUAAGGGGUGCGUAGGCGGUUGUUUAAGUCUGUCGUGAAAUCCCCGGGCUCAACCUGGGAAUGGCGAUGGAUACUGGGCAGCUAGAGUGUGUCAGAGGAUGGUGGAAUUCCCGGUGUAGCGGUGAAAUGCGUAGAGAUCGGGAGGAACAUCAGUGGCGAAGGCGGCCAUCUGGGACAACACUGACGCUGAAGCACGAAAGCGUGGGGAGCAAACAGG